GCCGAGGUAGCUCAAGCGGUUGGAGCAGUCGUUUCAUAAGCGACAGGCUGUGGGUUCGAGUCCCACCCUCGGCA
This 74-nucleotide transfer RNA is filed under the name Patescibacteria group bacterium. RNAcentral's name for it is "tRNA-Met". It matches the Rfam family "tRNA". From Rfam's summary of the family: Transfer RNA (tRNA) molecules are approximately 80 nucleotides in length. Their secondary structure includes four short double-helical elements and three loops (D, anti-codon, and T loops). Further hydrogen bonds mediate the characteristic L-shaped molecular structure. tRNAs have two regions of fundamental functional importance: the anti-codon, which is responsible for specific mRNA codon recognition, and the 3' end, to which the tRNAs corresponding amino acid is attached (by aminoacyl-tRNA synthetases). tRNAs cope with the degeneracy of the genetic code in two manners: having more than one tRNA (with a specific anti-codon) for a particular amino acid; and 'wobble' base-pairing, i.e. permitting non-standard base-pairing at the 3rd anti-codon position. The record is from RNAcentral.